RNAcentral lists this transfer-messenger RNA (398 nucleotides) under Zeaxanthinibacter enoshimensis. RNAcentral's name for it is "Standard tmRNA". It matches the Rfam family "transfer-messenger RNA". From Rfam's summary of the family: Bacterial tmRNA, also known as 10Sa RNA or SsrA, is named for its dual tRNA and mRNA-like properties. Its role is to liberate the mRNA from a stalled ribosome. Lineage: Bacteria; Pseudomonadati; Bacteroidota; Flavobacteriia; Flavobacteriales; Flavobacteriaceae. The record is from Rfam by way of RNAcentral.
GGGGCCGACUGGUUUUGACAGCAAGACCAAUGGUUAUGUAAGCAUGCCGAGCGCUGGGAUACAGCUCGUAAAUCUCAUAUUUCACACUUUUUAAAUGGCGAAGAUAAUUACGCUCUUGCCGCUUAAUCUGAAUUAUAGUAGGAUUUAGCCUCGUCCCUGCAAGGCAGGGAAGCGAGAUGUCCCUGGAUAGCCCUUGUUGACGGCGAUCCAUUCAGGGGCACCAUAAAAGUCAACAUAGGGGGAUUGUAGCUUCGGCAAUUCCUCAAAACUAAAGAAGCUAAGUGCGUAGUAGGCUGGUUCUGGUCAGCUGCGCAUCGAAAACCAAUCAGGACCUAAGCAUGUAGAAAGCAUGGUUAUUGCUUGUUUGGACGAGGGUUCGAAUCCCUCCGGCUCCACCU